AGGAAUGAUCCAGGAUCAUCCAGCAUUCCUGAGACUGAUCAGGUCCAACAAACAACUAUUCCAGAUCAGGACAGUUCCAUUCUCUAUGCUGAGAUUGACAGCAACAGAACAGCUCAGCCUGACUCCUGUACCUAUGCCAGCAUCGUGUUUGACAGCAACAGAAAAGUUCAAGAUGACAAGAGUCUCUCAGUUGCGGAAUCAGAAGAGAAUGUAACCUAUGCAGCUGUUAUGGACACACAUUAGGAACUGAGAUGGAUUAGAAUUGUUUGAAAGCUAAGGAUUGUUUAAGGAAUACUGUAUGUUUUUGAAAGCAAGUAACCUGACACUCAUUGUAAGUACUGUUUACACAGCUGCUGGGUCAGACAGCAGCAGAAGGUGCAGACGAGAUGGAGACAAGGGCGUGUACAAAUGGAGAUUCAGCUGGCAACAAGUAUCUGACUGGUCUUUGUACUAAUGACUAGUAAUCAAUGACAAAAACUUCAUGCUGCCAGCAAUGAUUUGAUUGCUUCCCAGGUAACUGAACAGCUUGUGUGGAUGUGAACACUAUCGGGAGAAGCCAUCAAACCAUCACCAGUUCAGGAACUGAUCAUCAUCAGCUCUGUUACCUGCAAUAAAAGUUACUUUAACUCUGAGGACACUGAGCUUAUUUUCUUUUCUUUUAGCAGUUGCAAUAAGCUCUGACCUUUGAUUAAUAAGUCAGGCCAAUAUAAGCCACCCUGUGUCUCGUGUAAACCAGUGACAACAUCUGCACAUGGAAGAUGGAGAAGGAGAAGGAAGUAGCAUUCUGAUCACAAGCAUCAUCUCAGCGGAUCCUGUGAACUGGGACCACUGAAACUGCUUUCUGUGUUUUCCUUCAAAUCAAUGAUGAAUGUUUCAUUCCUGUCUGUAUGUGUAUGUGUGCGGAUUUAAGGGGAAUUCGUUCAUGAGGAUCUUAGAGUUUUAACGAGUGGCGUUAUAUG
This is a long non-coding RNA of Hemiscyllium ocellatum (epaulette shark), 959 nucleotides long. RefSeq lists it as uncharacterized. The record is from RefSeq and is a predicted model, not a curated record. The transcript has 6 exons. NCBI's taxonomy places the organism in Eukaryota, Metazoa, Chordata, Chondrichthyes, Orectolobiformes, Hemiscylliidae.